Molecule: long non-coding RNA, 726 nt
Organism: Echinops telfairi (small Madagascar hedgehog)
Lineage: Eukaryota; Metazoa; Chordata; Mammalia; Afrosoricida; Tenrecidae
Exons: 3
Source: RefSeq, a predicted model, not a curated record
CAGUCACAGGAACUGAAUAGGAUCACUGAAAGGCCAGCGGUGCUGCUCCCAUUUAUUCGGCUUCCUCGCAGGACUUUGUUGCCAGUCCAUGUUUGCAUUCUGCUUCUGGGUCCGCUACCUGGCAGUACGAGUUAGUCGUUCACAUCCACACUCGUGAGGGUCAUAGGCGUGACAGCACCUUCUUCCCAAGUCCAAUGAAUUGAAUCUACUCACACGACGAUUCAAUUGGAAACUUGUAAGAGUCCCCCUCCCCCAUACAUCUGAGUACCCAGGGCCACCAGCAAUGGUAUUGUUCUACCAUGUUGUUUCUAUUGUCAUGAAUUUACAAUCCAAAGUCUCAGAUCUACUUCAUAAGUUCAAUUGAAAGAAACAUUUCAGCGUGGAGAUCUAUGAUCCAGUGAAUUGAAGAAGAAAUAAGAAACCAACAUCGAGGUGUGUGUGUCUAAGUUCCACAAACAAACCAGACGAACAAACACAUUGACUCAUAAUAUAUUGUGAAAAAGAUCUUGUAAUGCAAACAUUUUGAAUAAUGAAAAGUUGAUCGGUACCUAAGACUGGCACUGACUUUGUCUCAAAAGAACUAUUCCCUUUUCUCAUGAAGAGGAUGCAUCUGCAAAUGGCCAGUUCUUAAUUAUUUGGGGAAACAGAAGUGAUAGAGUGAGCACAGUCCACUCUUCAGCAAGGAUCUGAAAGGAAGAAGUAUCAAAGGCUUAUAUACUUAUCACC